This is a long non-coding RNA of Gadus macrocephalus (Pacific cod), 4512 nucleotides long. RefSeq lists it as uncharacterized. NCBI's taxonomy places the organism in Eukaryota, Metazoa, Chordata, Actinopteri, Gadiformes, Gadidae. The record is from RefSeq and is a predicted model, not a curated record. The transcript has 2 exons.
CGACAAACGCGCUCUCUCUCUCUCUCUCUCUAACUUACUCACUCACUCACUCACUCACUCACUCACUCACUCACUCACUCACUCACUCACUCACUCACUCACUCACUCACUCACUCACUCACUCACUCAAUCUCACACACGCACAGUCCUCCUAAACAAUGUUCUCCACACGCAGCUGAAGCUUCGACAUUGGCCUGCCGUCAGAUUUAAUUUUUAGUUUCUGCCCAUGGGGCAGUUUGGUUACAUUUGACUAAAUACUCUAAAUCUCGACCCUCCUUGUUGCAAACGUGCUAAUCUCCCGCUAUUUGUUUACGUUGACGUUGAUGCUUUGAUUUGAUUGGUGUGAAGCCUGGCACCCUGCUGACUAAUCACAGGAGGGCAGUGUCAUGACGGUAGCCUCACCUGAUUGGUUAAUCCUUCUUCUUUUUAUUCACCAAGGGAUGCCGUCUCGGGCUGGCUUCCUCACAGACAUACAGUGUGCAAUGUCGUGUUUUACCACGUAUUCAGUAUUUAAGAUUUAGAGGGGCGCUGUUUCGCGCAUUUUGAAAUGCUCAAUGAGACGAGAAAAUGUGGAAGAAAUGACAGCAACACAGCACCAAAGAAUAACCAAAACUGUUAAUAUAAAUGUUUUUAUUGGAUGUCUAAAAAACAGGGAAGCCUGGCUUCCCUUGGCCUCCGGGAGAAAACGCCACUGCCAGUGACCCUUACACAAAUAGCUUAACCCCCCCUCCCCCAGAAUGUAUAUCAAAAUGAAAGAACGGAAAAUAUAAAUUCAAAGUACAGAUAUUUAUUUGGAGAGAUAUUUUUUUCAUCGUUCUUCUGAGGAAAGGGGUGUCAUGCAACUUUAGAGGUUAAGAACCAUAAGAGUUUAUGGAAGAAAUACCUUUAUUUUUUGUCUACGCUAAGCUAUGAAGGGGAUCAAUAGUAAUCAUACUUCUUGAUGAAAAUCCUGAUAAAAAAACAUAACUGCAAUCGGCUUCACGGAACAUGCCGUGAUCACUUUGUAAUUGAAGCCUUUCUUAGAUCCAUUCUUAAGCCUUUCUUCGAAAAAAAACAGAGGCCUUUGUCCUCCAAUCAGUUCUCGCUUCACUGCAUGCAAACGCCAAGAUGACAAUCAGGCAGUCAGUGAACAUUGUGUCUAGGCAGCGGGAUCUAAAAUGUUGGCCAAUGGUAGCGGAAGAAACAGAUGGAUGGAGACAAGCAACAAGGUAGCCGGCAGAAUGAGGAAAGGCUGUUGCUGCCUGAGGAGCGGAGACCAUGGUAUCGCUGCGUGGGCCCAGACAGCCCCCUGCUGCUAUAAACAUCCAGGAAGUUAUAUGUUGAUCCAUCAGAUCGUUGUUAAGGAGAUGGGGAGGGGGGUGUCAGAGGGAGGGCGACCUGUAGCUCUUUCUGAUCACUUCAUUCUCCCUGGGCAAUAAAGGAACAAGGGGAGGAGGACGACAUUGAAGCUCGUUGAGUAGUGCUAGAAUGAGGAACAGGGGCGAUUAUCAGGGGGCGGAAGGACAGAGUAGGAUGUGGAGAAGAAAAGCGACCAUGAAAAAAAUACAAAUAAAAUAAAAGGUACAUUUUCUGCAUUUGUUAGGAAAUCUAUAGAAGGACACUGUUUAGCAGGCAAACAUUAAAGCUUUAAUACAUUCACGACACGCACACCGACAGACUAUGUCAUGUCACCGCCUCUGUCUAAUCUGGUGUUCAUAUCCACACUUUUUUUGGCAGCGGCAGUUGGUGUUUAUGCUCCUGGAAGCCCUGUCUGGAUUGCCAGGUGAUUGCAAAAGAAAAAAGACUAGACCUUGUUUUGUUUUGUUUUUCCUCGUGCCAUAUGGCAACGGUUCACCACCCAACCCAGGUGUGAUUUAUGAAUUGGAUAAACAUGCCACCGAAGUAUCAGGAACGUUAAUUAUUUCUCCCUCUUUAAUGAGCCAUCUACACCCUCCAGUGACUAACUUGGGCCCUUAUUUAACAUUCAUUGGGGUGCACGAAUAAGUCAUCAGUCACGAUGAAAGAUAAACAUGCUGCAAAAUCGUAAAUAUUACAGUGAACUUGCUCUUCAUUACUUUAGCAUGAACUCCUGUUUAACCUCUUAUAAUUUACUUCAUGGACAUACGGCCCUUUCCACUAUGUUUGGAAAGCAAUUAUGUUUCCUUUCGGAAAGCUGACCUUCUCCCUAAUUCAUGACCUACCCUUGUCGUAACGCACUUUGUUCUCAAAUAUCCAGAGAUUUAAAAACAAAACCUUAACUAAAACAAAAGUCAAUGUACAAUAACUGUUUCAAUAGGUUUUUGCAUUUCACGUACAGAAGCGCUGAGGCCUCUCGGUUGUGUAAUGUGGGAGGUCGAACAAUGCACCAUUCAGCUGUAUCUGCCUUACACCCUCCAGUCGACGCCGUACCAUUCAAGGUAACGUGUACUUUGCAAUCGUCUGCUCUGCUCGGCCAAAGCCUAUGAUCUCAAAGCUCACACAGGACCGUGCAGUUGAUUGAUAAGCCACAGUGUAGGUUCACGUUCACAGUGUGACGAGCCUCAAAAAGGCAUUUUAUGCGUCUCUAUUCACAAUGUCCUAUAAGGUUCAGUUUCACUUCUAUAAGCCAUGUGAAGGUGAACACGGAGUCAAUGGUGCACUCCGGUUCUUUCCAGGGAAUUGUGGAAGAUUUCUAAUACUGCAAGAUGGCCGGUUACAAUUUAUGUCAUGUCAAAAACCCAUCCAGGCGUCUGAUUGCUUCAUCGCAGCUCGCUUUGGCAUCGUAACCCCCCUUACUCCGCUAGUCACACGGCAACCGAUUAGUCUUCAAUUCGACCCAAUUUGGAUAAUAGUUAGCGACUGUCAAAUCAGCUUCAAAUUUUUGCCUAAUUCCUGGAGUUUCAUCAUCUGUAAUUUAUUCCGGCUACAGGCCUAUUAAUUCUGCUGCUUUAUUUUGGUGUCUUAAGGUAUGACUGCGGUGAGUAAUGUGUUCUGUUUGCUGGGAUGUAGAUCUCCGGCCGCCUGCCUGUUCAUCAUGUUCAGUGGGCUCAGAGAGGCCACGGUGAAAGCAGCUUUGCCGUCGGAACAGUGUGUGCCCUGUAAGGCUGCCUCUCUGUGAAGGCACAGGCGUCAUAGGAGAGAGAGACGCUAACCGCAAGCUCGAGGCUGCGGUUGAAAAGCUGUUUUGAAAUCCUGAGAGGAAUGGGUUAAUAUCCGUUCCUUUUCAUCUUGGUCAAGAUUUUUUUUCAGUGGACUUUGUUAUCUGAAGGUAACUCGUUUCCAAUUUGCGUCACAUGGUCGACAAUGUAGCGCAGCUAUUUGUUAAAAAAAAAAUCUCGGAGAAAUAAAUGUCUACUUCCCAUGAUUUGGUUUAGAAUUCGAGGUUACGGAGACUCAAAUUGUGAAGAUGAUGCCCGCGUCUGGUGAAGGGUCAAGUGUUUGUUGGUUAUAAUACGGUGAUAACACAUGUUAACAUAUAUUUUUUUUCUUUUAAUCCUUCAAAACAUCAGCGUCAACCUGCCGCCAUAUGAAACCUCUCUCCAAGUUUGAGAUUUAGAAACUCCUCAUGGAAUGUUUCCUCAAGAGGAAGCAAGAAUGUUCCGCUGCACACAAGGCCUUCUCUUCCACUCUUGUGCCGUUUCUUCACGGCAGUGACCCGUUGUGCUCCAUCCCCCGUGCCUCGACCUCCGUUCUCCUCUUCACUGCUCUGUUCAAUCCUUCUAAGCAUGUUCUAAUUUGUCUUUCACUGCCUCCGUCCGCUCGUUUAUCUCCCAGCCCCAGAUUGUGUCUGUAACCACGCGCUCCGGGCCUAGGCUAGACUCACACCAUAUUAUUUUAUGAUGACGGGCCGAAAUGGCCUGCUCCGGGGUGAGAGUGCGUGUGUGUGCGUGUGUGUGUGGGUCUGUGCGUGUGUGUGUGUGUGUGUGUGUGUGCGGCACUGCGCGCACAUGUGCACGCAUGCAUCAUACACGGGCAGAAACGGAUGAGGACAUAACUUUUUGCCAUACUUUAGGUCUUUUGAAAUCUUGACUUUGUGACUUCAGCUCAUUCUAAAGGACCGACGUUUUAAUUCCUGACUUCAGCUCCCUUCCGCUACCGCCAAUGUCGUUAUUUAUAAGCGCCGGUGCCAGUUUGUGUUGGCAUGAUGCUAAUUGGUCCCACAGGCUCCCGCCCUUUCUAUCGCGGGCGUCACAAGGGGUCUGUCGUGGUGUCUCUCCGACAGAGCGUCGGACCCCCCACUGCGCUUUGUGAGAUUAGCCUUGCCCACCCCCCGGAGGCAGAGCACUUGAAGCGGGGCGUUUCAGAAGGACCUAGUGAAGUGGAAAGAAGACAGCCCCCCAUUCUGGGGGGGGGAGGCACGUUUUUGGCUUUGAACGCUAGAUUAAAUGAAGGCAUAUCAUCAUCUCCUAGCGUGCACACAAACAGAGACACACACACACACACACACACACACACACACACACACACACACACACACACACACACACACACACACACACACACACACACACACACACACACACACACACACACACACACACACGCGCGCACACA